CCUACGUGGGGCAGCAGUAGGGAAUCUUCGGCAAUGGGCGAAAGCCUGACCGAGCAACGCCGCGUGAAUGAAGAAGGCCUUCGGGUUGUAAAAUUCUGUUAUAAGGGAAGCAAGGUGAUAGGAGGAAAUGACUAUCAAUUGACGGUACCUUAUGAGAAAGCCACGGCUAACUACGUGCCAGCAGCCGCGGAAAUAAGUAGGUGGCAAGCGUUUUCCGGAAUUAUUGGGCGUAAAGAGAGCGCAGGUGGUCAAUUAAGGCUGAUGUGAAAGCCCACGGCGUAACCGUGGCGGGUCAUUGGAAACUGGUUGACUUGAGUGGAGAAGAGGGAAGUGGAAUUCCAUGUGUAGCGGUGAAAUGCGUAGAGAUAUGGAGGAACACCAGUGGCGAAGGCGGCUUCCUGGUCUGCAACUGACACUGAGGCGCGAAAGCGUGGGGAGCAAACAGGAUUAGAUACCCGGGUAGUC
RNAcentral lists this ribosomal RNA (465 nucleotides) under uncultured bacterium. Its description in RNAcentral is "partial 16S ribosomal RNA". It matches the Rfam family "Bacterial small subunit ribosomal RNA", at positions 338 to 795 of the family's 1533-position model. The record is from RNAcentral.